GGUCAAAAAUGUAUGACUCUAGAACUUUUAGACCCUGAGGCAUGUGAUACCUUUUCGGAAAGCCCAAAGAGAGCUCUCCGAUGAAUAAGGAAGGAAAAUGGAAUUCUUCUAUAGUUUUUUUUUUCUACUCCAAAGUUUGACCUUAAUGUACUUUUUCGGGUCUUUUGUAAUCUUUGCUAUAUUACAGGGCGAAAAUUAUAUGUUCGGACAUUGUAUUCGAAUGUUUUGCAUGUAUCAAAGCUCUUAUAAACAAGAUAGGGUAUUCCUACAUAGCUGGUGGGACCCACGCCAAAUCGAUCAUAAAGUUUUCAAAAAAGAAUAGAUACGAUUGCAUUGCAUGUAGUUACGGAUGCGAUCAUACCAGCACUAAUGCAUCAGAUCCCAUCAGAACUCCGCAGUUAAGCGUGCUUGGGCGAGAGUAGUACUAGGGUGGGUGACCUCCAGGAAAGUCCUCGUGUGUCAUCCCUCUUUUUUUUUGGUUUUUCUCUUUUUUUUUGUUAAAAAUGUAUGACUCUAUAACAGACUGUGAGGCCAAACUUGACAUGUGAUACCUUUUCGGAAAGCCCAAAGAGAGCUCUCCGAUGAAUGAGGAAGGAAAAUGGAAUUUUUCUAUUGUUUUUUUUCCUACUCCAAAUUUUGAUUUUAAUGUACUUUUUCGAGCCUUUUCGUUAUCUUUGCUAUAUUACAGGGCGAAAAUUAUAUGUUCGGACAUUAG
This 715-nucleotide small RNA is filed under the name Arabidopsis thaliana (thale cress). Lineage: Eukaryota; Viridiplantae; Streptophyta; Magnoliopsida; Brassicales; Brassicaceae. The record is from RNAcentral.